AGAGUUUGAUCAUGGCUCAGAACGAACGUUGGCGGUGUGGAUUAGGCAUGCAAGUCGCGCGCGAAAGCCUUCGGGCAAGUAAAGCGGCGGACGGGCGAGUAACGCGUAAUCAACCUACCCUCGAGACCGGAAUAGCCACUGGAAACGGUGGGUAAUGCCGGAUUGUCCCGCGGAUCGGCAUCGAACUGCGGGUAAACGGUGGCGUAAGCUGCUGCUCGGGGAGGGGAUUGCGUCCUAUCAGCUUGUUGGUGAGGUCAUGGCUCACCAAGGCGAUGACGGGUAGCUGGUCUGAGAGGACGACCAGCCGCACUGGGACUGAGAUACUGCCCAGACUCCUACGGGAGGCUGCAGUCGAGAAUCUUCCGCAAUGGGCGAAAGCCUGACGGAGCGACACCGCGUGCAGGACUAAGGCCCUCGGGUUGUAAACUGCUGUCGCGCUAUAGGAAUGUCAUGUCGUUAAUAGCUGCAUGAUUGACCAAAGCGAAAGGAAGUGGCGGCUAACUCUGUGCCAGCAGCCGCGGUAAGACAGAGGCCACAAACGUUGUUCGGAAUCACUGGGCAUAAAGCGCACGUAGGCGGCUAGGUAGGUCCGAUGUGAAAGCCCCCGGCUCAACCGGGGAACUGCAUCGGAAACCACCUGGCUUGAGGACGGUUGGGGUGAGUGGAACUCCUGGUGGAGCGGUGAAAUGCGUAGAUAUCAGGAGGAACACCGGUGGCGAAAGCGGCUCACUGGACCGUUACUGACGCUGAGGUGCGAAAGCUAGGGGAGCAAACGAGAUUAGAUACCCCGGUAGUCCUAGCCGUAAAACGAUGGGCACUGGGUAGGGGGGAAGCCUAUGCUCUUCCCUGCCGAAGCAAAUGUAUUAAGUGCCCCGCCUGGGGAGUAUCGCUCGCAAUGGGUAAAACUCAAAGGAAUUGACGG
This 922-nucleotide ribosomal RNA is filed under the name uncultured bacterium. Its description in RNAcentral is "bacterial SSU rRNA". It matches the Rfam family "Bacterial small subunit ribosomal RNA", at positions 8 to 916 of the family's 1533-position model. The record is from RNAcentral.